This 21-nucleotide microRNA is filed under the name Mus musculus (house mouse). Its description in RNAcentral is "mmu-miR-6900-3p". The record is from miRBase by way of RNAcentral. Lineage: Eukaryota; Metazoa; Chordata; Mammalia; Rodentia; Muridae.
UGGUGAUGGGCUCUCUUGUAG